GGUAUGUCAUUCCUCAGUUAUUUGCUGCCUCUAGGUAUGUAAGAUAUCCAUCAAUUUGUUCUCUUUGGGGCAAGCAUUUAUAAAAAUAAAGUAUAUUGUUGGCGGUUGCUACUCCAGCAAUAAAUCAUCUUUGUAAGGGUUGCAGUUCAUGCAUUUUAGAACUUUUCUAAUUAAUAAAAAUAAAGUAUAUUGUUGGCGGUUGCUACUCCAGCAAUAAAUCAUCUUUGUAAGGGUUGCAGUUCAUGCAUUUUAGAACUUUUCUUGGACAG
This 269-nucleotide long non-coding RNA is filed under the name Nicotiana benthamiana. RNAcentral describes it as "long non-coding RNA (NBEN_LNC038156)". The record is from RNAcentral. Lineage: Eukaryota; Viridiplantae; Streptophyta; Magnoliopsida; Solanales; Solanaceae.